CAGAAUUUGCAUGAGCCUGGGGCUAGGCUCUGGGCACCAACCUCCGGAUGUCCUCAGGGAUCUGUGAGCAGAGAGGCCUGGCUGCAAAGGGUCUGGAGGACGGCCCUUCUGCUAAGGUGUCCGCUCCCAAGGCAGAGGGCUUGGGGGAGCUGGAGGAGGCUGGGUUCCAGGAGGGGUGGCCAGAGGGGAAGACUGAGUCUGAUUUCUUCACUCAACAAGUGCUCACUGAAUGCCUGGGAUGCAGCGGUGAACAAAACCAACAAAAGACCCUGCUUUUAUGGAGUUUAUAAUCUGGUGAAGGAUGGGGAGAGAGCAAGAGACAAUUUCGGGUGCUAAGCACAUGCAGAUGAAGAAAAUAAACCAGGAGGGGUGGGGAGAGGGGCUUAUCUGCACAGGCUCCCUCAGCUGAGACCUGAAUGACAGAAGGGGCUGGUGGGCUGGGGAAGGGCCACUCCCACCAGAGGGAAUGGCGAAUGCUAAGGCCCUGCAGCGGGAGCGACCCUGUGUGUAUGAGGAACAGAAAGGCCAGUAUGGGUGCGCAGUGAUGGGGGAGCAGUCAGUGAUGCAGUCAAGAGGUCGGUGAGGCAAGAUCAGGUAGAGACUCACAGGCCACUUAAAGGAAUUUGGAUUUUGCUUUAAAUGUACCAGGAAUGCGCAUUUUUGAGGGGAGGGGUGGGGAGAGACAGAGAGAGGAGGCUGGGCACAGUGGCUCACAUCUGUAAUCUCAGCACUUUAGGAUGCCAAAGUGGGAGGAUCACUUGAGGUCAGGAAACCAGCCUGGCCAACAUGUCAAAACCCCGUCUCUACCAAAAAUACAAAAAUUAGCCGGGCGUGGUAGUGGGUGGCCUAUAAACCCAUCUACUUGAGAGGCUGGG
Molecule: long non-coding RNA, 875 nt
Filed under: Homo sapiens (human)
Lineage: Eukaryota; Metazoa; Chordata; Mammalia; Primates; Hominidae
Description: HSALNT0227708
Source: RNAcentral